RNAcentral lists this ribosomal RNA (937 nucleotides) under Cortinarius sp. PDD 112827. RNAcentral describes it as "partial large subunit ribosomal RNA". It matches the Rfam family "Eukaryotic large subunit ribosomal RNA", at positions 39 to 961 of the family's 3401-position model. Lineage: Eukaryota; Fungi; Basidiomycota; Agaricomycetes; Agaricales; Cortinariaceae. The record is from RNAcentral.
CAUAUCAAUAAGCGGAGGAAAAGAAACUAACAAAGGAUUCCCCUAGUAACUGCGAGUGAAGCGGGAAAAGCUCAAAUUUAAAAUCUGAUAGUCUUUGGCUGUCCGAGUUGUAAUCUAGAGAAGUGCUAUCCGCGCUGGACCGUGUACAAGUCUCCUGGAAUGGAGCGUCAUAGAGGGUGAGAAUCCCGUCUUUGACACGGACUGCCAGGGCUUUGUGAUGUGCUCUCAAAGAGUCGAGUUGUUUGGGAAUGCAGCUCAAAAUGGGUGGUAAAUUCCAUCUAAAGCUAAAUAUUGGCGAGAGACCGAUAGCGAACAAGUACCGUGAGGGAAAGAUGAAAAGAACUUUGGAAAGAGAGUUAAACAGUACGUGAAAUUGCUGAAAGGGAAACGCUUGAAGUCAGUCGCGUUGUCCAGGGAUCAACCUUGCUUUUGCUUGGUGCACUUUCUGGUUGACGGGUCAGCAUCAAUUUUGACUAUUGGAAAAAGAUUAGGGGAAUGUGACAUCUUCGGAUGUGUUAUAGCCCUUGGUUGCAUACAAUGGUUGGGAUUGAGGAACUCAGCACGCCGCAAGGCCGGGUUUUUAACCACGUACGUGCUUAGGAUGCUGGCAUAAUGGCUUUAAUCGACCCGUCUUGAAACACGGACCAAGGAGUCUAACAUGCCUGCGAGUGUUUGGGUGGAAAACCCGAGCGCGUAAUGAAAGUGAAAGUUGAGAUCCCUGUCGUGGGGAGCAUCGACGCCCGGACCAGACCUUUUGUGACGGUUCCGCGGUAGAGCAUGUAUGUUGGGACCCGAAAGAUGGUGAACUAUGCCUGAAUAGGGUGAAGCCAGGGGAAACCCUGGUGGAGGCUCGUAGCGAUUCUGACGUGCAAAUCGAUCGUCAAAUUUGGGUAUAGGGGCGAAAGACUAAUCGAACCAUCUAGUAGCUGGUUCCUGC